RNAcentral lists this long non-coding RNA (794 nucleotides) under Vigna radiata. RNAcentral's name for it is "long non-coding RNA (VRAD_LNC013767)". Lineage: Eukaryota; Viridiplantae; Streptophyta; Magnoliopsida; Fabales; Fabaceae. The record is from RNAcentral.
UGAAUGAAAUGUUUGCAGUAAUUAUAGAACAAGUGAAGACCAUUCUAUUGAAAAUCUUGAAAACUGAAUGAUUCAUCUUCAUCUAAUCCUCUUCGUCCUCCUCCUCAAUCCUGAUUGUAAUUUGUCAUUGUAUUCUCCGCCAAUGUCAUUAUGUUCUAUCAAUAACAUCUUUUUACAGAAUCUUGUUCCCACAUUCUAUCCUUAUUCAUUACCUUUUUUAUGAUUGACGAAAAGGGGUGAAUAGAAAUAAAACAAGAAGAAGAAACAAAAAUGGAAGAAGGAGAACUUGAAGAAAUUUAAAACAUGGGGAGAAGUAGAAAGAAAAAAUAAAGAUAAAAGAGACAUAUAAAUCAGGGGGUAUAAACACUUAAGCAAGGGGGAGUAUAUAAAAAAAAAAGGACUUAACAAAACAAUGUUGUAACAUAUUCAAUAAGUGUUAAUCAACAUAGGAUAUACAUGAAUAUAUUUUUCAUCAAAAUGUUGAAUAACCAAUGUUGUAUGACUUAUCUAUUUAUCUCUACUUGCUUAUUCUGUGAUAAAUUAUCGUCUUCUUCAACUUUGAUAAAUAUUGAUACAUGACUUUGUUAAAAUGUAACGCACAAACAAAGAACAUGAAUACUAUGUAUUUCUAUUGAACAUGAACAGGCUCUUAAAAUAGUCUUGGAUCAAUUACAAAUGGAAUAACAACUACAAUAAAAACUGAAAACAGAAUUUGAUGGAAUCAAAACAAAAAACACAUCCCCACAGACUAGAAACUAAAUGAUAAAAAACUUAAAGGAAAUUACAAAUAUACC